CAGUAGCCACGGUAAUACGAAGGGGGCUAGCGUUGUUCGGAUUUACUGGGCGUAAAGCGCACGUAGGCGGAUCGAUCAGUCAGGGGUGAAAUCCUGGAGCUCAACUCCAGAACUGCCUUUGAUACUGUCGAUCUCGAGUCCGGAGGAGGUGAGUGGAACUCCUAGUGUAGAGGUGGAAUUCGUAGAUAUUAGGAAGAACACCAGUGGCGAAGGCGGCUCACUGGUCCGGUACUGACGCUGAGGUGCGAAAGCGUGGGGAGCAAACAGGAUUAGAUACCCGAGUAGUCCCUGUCUCUUAUAC
Molecule: ribosomal RNA, 301 nt
Filed under: uncultured bacterium
Lineage: Bacteria
Description: partial 16S ribosomal RNA
Rfam family: Bacterial small subunit ribosomal RNA
Source: RNAcentral